This 429-nucleotide ribosomal RNA is filed under the name Chloroflexota bacterium. RNAcentral's name for it is "Chloroflexi bacterium partial 16S ribosomal RNA". It matches the Rfam family "Bacterial small subunit ribosomal RNA", at positions 355 to 776 of the family's 1533-position model. The record is from RNAcentral. Lineage: Bacteria; Bacillati; Chloroflexota.
UGGGGAAUAUUGCACGAUGGGCGCAAGCCUGAUGCAGCCAUGCCGCGUGUGUGAAGAAGGCCUUCGGGUUGUAAAGCACUUUCAGCGGGGAGGAAGGCGUUAAGGUUAAUAACCUUGGCGAUUGACGUUACCCGCAGAAGAAGCACCGGCUAACUCCGUGCCAGCAGCCGCGGUAAUACGGAGGGUGCAAGCGUUAAUCGGAAUUACUGGGCGUAAAGCGCACGCAGGCGGUCUGUCAAGUCGGAUGUGAAAUCCCCGGGCUCAACCUGGGAACUGCAUUCGAAACUGGCAGGCUAGAGUCUUGUAGAGGGGGGUAGAAUUCCAGGUGUAGCGGUGAAAUGCGUAGAGAUCUGGAGGAAUACCGGUGGCGAAGGCGGCCCCCUGGACAAAGACUGACGCUCAGGUGCGAAAGCGUGGGGAGCAAACAGG